CAGAUCUUGUGGGAGCGAAACCAACGCCUGGCUCGGAGCAGCAGCCUCUGAGGUGUCCCUGGCCAGUGUCCUUCCACCUGUCCACAAGCAUGGGGAACAUCUUCGCCAACCUCUUCACGGGCCUUUUUGGCAAAAAAGAAAUGCGCAUCCUCAUGGCAAGUCUGGAUGCUGUGGGCAAGACCACGAUCCUGUACAAGCUUAAGCUGGGUGAGAUCGUGACCACUAUUCCCACCACAGGCUUCAACGUGGAAACCGUGGAGUACAAGAACAUCAGCUUCACUGUGUGGGACGUGGGUGGCCAGGACAAGAUCUGGCCCCUGUGGCACCACUACUUCCAGAACCCACAAGGCCUAAUCUUCGUGGUGGACAGCAACGACAGAGAACGUGUGAACGAGGCCUGUGAGGAGCUCAUGAGGAUGCUGGCCGAGGACGAGCUCUGGGAUGCUGUCCUCCUGGUGUUCGCCAACAAGCAGGACCUCCCCAAUGCCAUGAAUGCGGCUGAGAUCACAGACAAGCUGGGGCUGCACUCCCUAUGCCAUAGGAACUGGUAUAUUCAGGCCACCUGCACCACCAGCAGCGACGGGCUCUAUGAAGGACCUGACUGGCUGUCCAAUCAGCUCUGGAACCAGAAUUGAAUGCAACCCCCCUCCCGCUCACUCCUCUUGCCCUCUGCUUUACUCUCAUGUGGCAAACGUGCAGCUCGUGGUGUGAGUGCCAGAAGCUGCCUCCGUGGUUUGG
This is an RNA transcript of Rhinopithecus roxellana (golden snub-nosed monkey), 738 nucleotides long. It is a transcript of the gene named ADP-ribosylation factor 1 pseudogene, with no coding region annotated. NCBI's taxonomy places the organism in Eukaryota, Metazoa, Chordata, Mammalia, Primates, Cercopithecidae. The transcript has a single exon. The record is from RefSeq and is a predicted model, not a curated record.